Molecule: long non-coding RNA, 315 nt
Filed under: Elaeis guineensis (African oil palm)
Lineage: Eukaryota; Viridiplantae; Streptophyta; Magnoliopsida; Arecales; Arecaceae
Description: long non-coding RNA (EGUI_LNC068402)
Source: RNAcentral
GAACAGACGGGCGUGCACAGGCUCGGCCUACACAGUUUUCUCACAUGGUCCACGCAUGGUGCAUGGACCAGUGCUCCAUGGGGACCCAUGUGGAUCGGGAGGAUAUUUCUCCUAGAUUUCUCAUGGUCCACCAUGGAUCGGAUGGCAUUUUCCUAGGUUUCUCAUGGUCUACGGUACUAUUGCAUGGAUCGAACGUGAUCAAAUAGUUGAGAUCCAAUCUAGUGCAUGAUCGGAUAGUGCAAAUGGCUUGCCGACAUAAUCUGGGUCUGAUGGAGCUUGAUCGAGCAUGAUGGAGCAGUUGAGGAGACUUGCGGU